GCAAGGUCCAGGAGGUCGCGAAGAGGACGAAGAGAAUGCGGAAUCUUCUCCCGGCGACACAGGGUGGCCGGAGGAUCUGGAGGACAAGCGGAAGGAGCUUCUGGGGGCGAAGUUGGCGUUUCUUGGGGGACUGGAAGCAGUGUCGAGUGUAACCGAGCAUGGUAUAGGGAUGCGGGAUGAUAAACGAAGGCAUUAUCCCAAGAAUCCGGCCAUGAAAGGAGUGAUUGAUGAACAGGUAGACGAGUGGAUCCGAGCUGGGGCUAUCGAGCCAUCGCGGAGUUCGCGAAGCGCGCCCUUCGUAUUAGCAAGAUUAAGCAAGAGUAAAAUGAAGAGAGCAAGUAGAAAAUGAAGAUGGAGUCAGGUAACGAAGAGAAUUAAACGAAGGUAACGAAAGAACAUUAAUCAAGAAAAGUAAAAGUAAGGUAAUGAGGAUGAAAUAAAGUAAGUUAAACUAACGGAAAAUAAAAUUAAGAGCGAAUAAAGAGAGUAAAAAAGAAUUAAAUGGGUUAAGAGCGAACAAAGAAAAAUAAAAUAAAAGCGAAUAGAGAGAGCGAAAAGGAAUGAAAUGGGUUAAGGGCGAACAAAGAGAAAUUAAUUAAGAGGGAAAUAAAGAGAAUCGAAAAGGAAAGAGAUAAGUUAAGAUGGAAUAAAGAAAAUGAAAGAAAAUUAAAUAGAUUAAGACAAAGUAAAGAGAAACAAAAGAGAAUAGCGAAACAGUUUAAGAGGAAAUAAAGAAAACAAAAUAAAGCUAGAAUAAGUGAACAAAGAUUAGAUUAAGAAGGUAAGAGGAAAUGAAAUGAAAUAAGAUGGUAAAUGUAAGCAAAA
Molecule: long non-coding RNA, 825 nt
Organism: Drosophila mojavensis
Lineage: Eukaryota; Metazoa; Arthropoda; Insecta; Diptera; Drosophilidae
Exons: 2
Source: RefSeq, a predicted model, not a curated record